RNAcentral lists this unclassified non-coding RNA (343 nucleotides) under soil metagenome. Its description in RNAcentral is "partial contains 5.8S ribosomal RNA, internal transcribed spacer 2, and large subunit ribosomal RNA". The stretch from base 1 to 120 matches the Rfam family "5.8S ribosomal RNA", at positions 35 to 154 of the family's 154-position model. The record is from RNAcentral.
GAUGAAGAACGUGGCGAAACGCGAUAAGUAAUGUGAAUUGCAGAAUCCAGUGAAUCAUCGAAUCUUUGAACGCACAUUGCGCCCGCCAGCAUUCUGGCGGGCAUGCCUGUUCGAGCGUCAUUUCAACCCUCGACCUCCCCUUGGGGAGGUCGGCGUUGGGGACCGGCAGCACACCGCCGGCCCUGAAAUGGAGUGGCGGCCCGUCCGCGGCGACCUCUGCGCAGUAAUACAGCUCGCACCGGGACCCCGACGCGGCCACGCCGUAAAACACCCAACUUCUGAACGUUGACCUCGAAUCAGGUAGGACUACCCGCUGAACUUAAGCAUAUCAAUAAGCGGAGGA